Molecule: ribosomal RNA, 600 nt
Filed under: Dermatolepis dermatolepis (leather bass)
Lineage: Eukaryota; Metazoa; Chordata; Actinopteri; Perciformes; Serranidae
Description: partial 16S ribosomal RNA
Rfam family: Bacterial large subunit ribosomal RNA
Source: RNAcentral
AACAUCGCCUCUUGCUAAACCGAAAGUUUAAGAGGUCCCGCCUGCCCUGUGACUAUAUGUUUAACGGCCGCGGUAUUUUGACCGUGCGAAGGUAGCGCAAUCACUUGUCUUUUAAAUGGAGACCUGUAUGAAUGGCAUAACGAGGGCUUGACUGUCUCCUCUUUCAAGUCAAUGAAAUUGAUCUCCCCGUGCAGAAGCGAGGAUAAAUACAUAAGACGAGAAGACCCUAUGAAGCUUUAGACACUAAAGCAGAUCAUCAUUAAAAUCCUUCAACAAAAAGAGACAUAAACCGCCGAACCCUGCCCUAAUGUCUUAGGUUGGGGCGACCGCGGAGAAAUAAAAACCCUCCACAAGGACCAAAUGUACUACAUUCACAACCAAGAGCAACAGCUCUAAGUAACAGAACUUCUGACCAAUAUAGAUCCGGCAAUGCCGAUUAAUGAACCAAGUUACUCUAGGGAUAACAGCGCAAUCUCCUCUUAGAGUCCAUAUCGACGAGGGGGUUUACGACCUCGAUGUUGGAUCAGGGCAUCCUAAUGGUGCAGCCGCUAUUAAGGGUUCGUUUGUUCAACGAUUAAAGCCCUACGUGAUCUGAGUUCA